UACAUGGGGUGCAAACGUUGCUCGGAAUUAUUGGGCGUAAAGCGCACGUAGGCGGUUCGUUAAGUCGGAUGUGAAAUCCCUCGGCUUAACCAAGGAAGUGCAUCCGAAACUACAGAGCUUGAGUACUUAAGAGGAUCGCGGAAUUCCCGGUGUAGAGGUGAAAUUCGUAGAUAUCGGGAGGAACACCAGUGGCGAAGGCGGCGAUCUGGGUUGUACCUGGACG
This 223-nucleotide ribosomal RNA is filed under the name uncultured bacterium. RNAcentral's name for it is "partial 16S ribosomal RNA". It matches the Rfam family "Bacterial small subunit ribosomal RNA", at positions 524 to 745 of the family's 1533-position model. The record is from RNAcentral.